RNAcentral lists this ribosomal RNA (374 nucleotides) under uncultured prokaryote. RNAcentral describes it as "bacterial SSU rRNA". It matches the Rfam family "Bacterial small subunit ribosomal RNA", at positions 524 to 896 of the family's 1533-position model. The record is from RNAcentral.
UACGUAGGGUGCGAGCGUUAAUCGGAAUUACUGGGCGUAAAGCGUGCGCAGGCGGUUUUGUAAGUCGGAUGUGAAAUCCCCGGGCUCAACCUGGGAACUGCGUUCGAAACUGCAAGGCUAGAGUGUGUCAGAGGGGGGUAGAAUUCCACGUGUAGCAGUGAAAUGCGUAGAGAUGUGGAGGAAUACCAAUGGCGAAGGCAGCCCCCUGGGAUAACACUGACGCUCAUGCACGAAAGCGUGGGGAGCAAACAGGAUUAGAUACCCUGGUAGUCCACGCCCUAAACGAUGUCAACUAGUUGUUGGUAGAGUAAAAUCUAUGAGUAACGUAGCUAACGCGUGAAGUUGACCGCCUGGGGAGUACGGUCGCAAGAUUA